UGUAUAAUGGGUCAGCGACUUAUAUUCAGUGGCAAGGUUAACCAUUUAGGGGAGCCGUAGGGAAACCGAGUCUUAACUGGGCGUUCAGUCUCUGGAUAUAGACCCGAAACCGGGUGAUCUAGCCAUGGGCAGGUUGAAGGUUGAGUAACAUCAACUGGAGGACCGAACCGACUAAUGUUGAAAAAUUAGCGGAUGACUUGUGGCUAGGGGUGAAAGGCCAAUCAAACUCGGAGAUAGCUGGUUCUCCCCGAAAGCUAUUUAGGUAGCGCCUCGGACGAAUACUACUGGGGGUAGAGCACUGUUAAGGCUAGGGGGUCAUCCCGACUUACCAACCCUUUGCAAACUCCGAAUACCAGUAAGUACUAUCCGGGAGACACACGGCGGGUGCUAACGUCCGUCGUGGAGAGGGAAACAACCCAGACCGCCAGCUAAGGUCCCAAAUUACAGCUAAGUGGGAAACGAUGUGGGAAGGCUCAGACAGCUAGGAUGUUGGCUUAGAAGCAGCCAUCAUUUAAAGAAAGCGUAAUAGCUCACUAGUCGAGUCGGCCUGCGCGGAAGAUGUAACGGGGCUAAGCU
Molecule: ribosomal RNA, 576 nt
Filed under: Vibrio fluvialis
Lineage: Bacteria; Pseudomonadati; Pseudomonadota; Gammaproteobacteria; Vibrionales; Vibrionaceae
Description: partial 23S ribosomal RNA
Rfam family: Bacterial large subunit ribosomal RNA
Source: RNAcentral